Molecule: ribosomal RNA, 814 nt
Filed under: uncultured bacterium
Lineage: Bacteria
Description: bacterial SSU rRNA
Rfam family: Bacterial small subunit ribosomal RNA
Source: RNAcentral
AGAGUUUGAUCCUGGCUCAGGACGAACGCUGGCGGCGUGGAUUAGGCAUGCAAGUCGCGCGACGGUGGAGCUUCGGCUUCAUACGGAGCGGCGAACGGGUGAGUAACACGUGAACAAUCUGUCCCUACAUUCCGGAUAAUUGACCGAAAGGUCUUGUAAUACGGGCGAGGGUGGUGACGGGGCAUCUCGUUACCAAGGAAGGUUAAGGAGUAAUCCUUAGUCGUGCAGGGAGGAGUUCGCGGCUUAUCAGCUAGUAGGUGGGGUAACGGCCUACCUAGGCGACGACGAGUAGCUGGUCUGAGAGGAUGGUCAGCCACAUUGGAACUGAGACACUGUCCAGACUCCUACGGGAGGCUGCAGUCGAGAAUCUUGGGCAAUGCACGAAAGUGUGGCCCAGCGACGCCGCGUGGAGGAUGAAGGCCCUUGGGUCGUAAACUCCUUUUAUGAGGGAAGAACGCAGGCGUAAGCUUGCUUGACGGUACCUCAUGAAUAAGCCACGGCUAACUACGUGCCAGCAGCCGCGGUAAUACGUAGGUGGCAAGCGUUGUCCGGAUUUACUGGGCGUAAAGCGUAUGCAGGCGGACCUUUAAGUAGGCAGUGAAAGGUUGGAGCUCAACUCUAACACGGCUAUCUAUACUGGGGGUCUUGAGUGGCGGAGAGGAAGAGGGAACGACACGUGUAGCGGUGAAAUGCGUUGAGAUGUGUCGGAACACCAAUGGCGAAAGCACUCUUCUGGACGCAGGCUUCGGCCAUAAAACUGACGCUGAGAUACGAAAGCCAAGGGAGCAAACAGGAUUAGAUACCCCAGUAGUCC